GCCGGGUGCAGUGGCUCACGCCUGGAAUUCCAGCAACUCCGGAGGCUGAGGCAGGAGGAUCGUAAGGUCAAGGCGAGCUUCAGCAAUUUAGUGAGGCACUAAGCAACUCAGCGAGACCCUGUCUCUA
This 127-nucleotide small RNA is filed under the name Marmota monax (woodchuck). The record is from RNAcentral. Lineage: Eukaryota; Metazoa; Chordata; Mammalia; Rodentia; Sciuridae.